Molecule: transfer RNA, 76 nt
Filed under: Hadesarchaea archaeon CG08_land_8_20_14_0_20_51_8
Lineage: Archaea; Methanobacteriati; Hadarchaeota (SeqCode); Hadarchaeia (SeqCode)
Description: tRNA-Ala
Rfam family: tRNA
About the family: Transfer RNA (tRNA) molecules are approximately 80 nucleotides in length.
Source: RNAcentral
GGGCCGGUAGUUCAGUGGCAUGAACGCUCGCUUCGCAAGCGAGAGGUCGCGGGUUCAAAUCCCGCCCGGUCCACCA